AAACAAACUCUGCAGUAUUAGGAGAGAAGCCGUUCAGUUCCACUGCCUGCUCUGUGACAGUUGCUAAUAUAAUAUGACAGGUGCCUUAGGAGACCCACUAUUAUUUUUUUCACUUUACAGAGGAGGAAAUGAGGAUGAAAGAGAUGUCAACUGACUGGUCCACCAACAUCCAGCUGGUGAAUAGCACCCAGGCCUUGAACACUUCUGACCGGAAGCACUCCUAUCUUCCCCUCUGAACAUUACAGUUUAAAAAUUAAAGAAUGGAUCAACUCAGGCCACAAAGGAGUAGGAUUAUAUAAAGAUGAUGAUGGAGACUGAAAUAAAUUCACUUUUGUCUGAAAUAACGGUCACAAAGAGCAAGGAGUUCAAAAUUCACAUUUUGAUUUAAGUCUCUGGCUAUCAGGGUUAAAAUUAUAGCAUUUAAAAUGCCAGAGUUAAGAGAAAAAAAGGAAAUUGCUGUGUAAAGUUAGCAAAGAAAAGAGGACCAUUAAAACAGCAGGAAUGAAUCAAACCCAGAGAGCAUGAAACAAGAAGACAUCAGCCGGCUCAAACUUACCAGUUAUGACUGUGGGGAGAGGCCAAGCCUCCCGGCUCCCGUUUAACUAUAAAUCGAGACAAAGUGACAGAAAAAGGUUGGGAGUAAAAGACAGAGCAAGGAGUUACCUUAAAAAUACAAGUGAAAAGCGGCCAAGGAC
This 695-nucleotide long non-coding RNA is filed under the name Equus caballus (horse). RNAcentral's name for it is "lncRNA (ENSECAG00000045084.1)". The record is from RNAcentral. Lineage: Eukaryota; Metazoa; Chordata; Mammalia; Perissodactyla; Equidae.